RNAcentral lists this ribosomal RNA (662 nucleotides) under uncultured bacterium. Its description in RNAcentral is "bacterial SSU rRNA". It matches the Rfam family "Bacterial small subunit ribosomal RNA", at positions 70 to 768 of the family's 1533-position model. The record is from RNAcentral.
AGUUGAGAGCUUGCUUUUUAAGUAGUGGCGAACGGGUGAGUAACGCGUGAGUACCUGCCCUAGAGUGGGGGACAACAGUUGGAAACGACUGCUAAUACCGCAUAAGGCCGCAUGACAAAAGAUUUAUCGCUUUAGGAUGGACUCGCGUCCAAUUAGCUAGUUGGUGAGGUAACGGCCCACCAAGGCGACGAUUGGUAGCCGGACUGAGAGGUUGAACGGCCACAUUGGGACUGAGACACGGCCCAGACUCCUACGGGAGGCAGCAGUGGGGGAUAUUGCACAAUGGGGGAAACCCUGAUGCAGCGACGCCGCGUGGAGGAAGAAGGUUUUCGGAUUGUAAACUCCUGUCGUUAGGGACGAUAAUGACGGUACCUAACAAGAAAGCACCGGCUAACUACGUGCCAGCAGCCGCGGUAAAACGUAGGGUGCAAGCGUUGUCCGGAAUUACUGGGUGUAAAGGGAGCGCAGGCGGGAAGACAAGUUGGAAGUGAAAACCAUGGGCUCAACCCAUGAAUUGCUUUCAAAACUGUUUUUCUUGAGUAGUGCAGAGGUAGACGGAAUUCCCGGUGUAGCGGUGGAAUGCGUAGAUAUCGGGAGGAACACCAGUGGCGAAGGCGGUCUACUGGGCACCAACUGACGCUGAGGCUCGAAAGCAUGGGUAG